UGAUGCGGUCAUACCAAGGCUACUACACCAGAUCCCAUCAGAACUCUGAAGUUAAGCGCCUUUGGGCCGGAAUGGUACUGGGAUGGGUGACCU
Molecule: ribosomal RNA, 93 nt
Filed under: Anacolia laevisphaera
Lineage: Eukaryota; Viridiplantae; Streptophyta; Bryopsida; Bartramiales; Bartramiaceae
Source: RNAcentral